AUUGAACGCUGGCGGCAGGCCUAACACAUGCAAGUCGAACGGCAGCACAGAAGAGCUUGCUCUUUGGGUGGCGAGUGGCGGACGGGUGAGUAAUGUCUGGGAAACUGCCCGAUGGAGGGGGAUAACUACUGGAAACGGUAGCUAAUACCGCAUAACGUCGCAAGACCAAAGUGGGGGACCUUCGGGCCUCACACCAUCGGAUGUGCCCAGAUGGGAUUAGCUAGUAGGUGGGGUAAUGGCUCACCUAGGCGACGAUCCCUAGCUGGUCUGAGGGGAUGACCAGGCACACUGGAACUGAGACACGGUCCAGACUCCUACGGGAGGCAGCAGUGGGGAAUAUUGCACAAUGGGCGCAAGCCUGAUGCAGCCAUGCCGCGUGUAUGAAGAAGGCCUUCGGGUUGUAAAGUACUUUCAGCGGGGAGGAAGGCGGUGAGGUUAAUAACCUCGCCGAUUGACGUUACCCGCAGAAGAAGCACCGGCUAACUCCGUGCCAGCCGCCGCGGUAA
RNAcentral lists this ribosomal RNA (506 nucleotides) under uncultured bacterium. RNAcentral describes it as "partial 16S ribosomal RNA". It matches the Rfam family "Bacterial small subunit ribosomal RNA", at positions 29 to 523 of the family's 1533-position model. The record is from RNAcentral.